Molecule: ribosomal RNA, 400 nt
Filed under: uncultured bacterium
Lineage: Bacteria
Description: bacterial SSU rRNA
Rfam family: Bacterial small subunit ribosomal RNA
Source: RNAcentral
GGGGAAUAUUGCACAAUGGGCGAAAGCCUGAUGCAGCGACGCCGCGUGAGCGAAGAAGUAUUUCGGUAUGUAAAGCUCUAUCAGCAGGGAAGAUAAUGACGGUACCUGACUAAGAAGCACCGGCUAAAUACGUGCCAGCAGCCGCGGUAAUACGUAUGGUGCAAGCGUUAUCCGGAUUUACUGGGUGUAAAGGGAGCGCAGGCGGUGCGGCAAGUCUGAUGUGAAAGCCCGGGGCUCCACCCCGGUACUGCAUUGGAAACUGUCGUACUAGAGUGUCGGAGGGGUAAGCGGAAUUCCUAGUGUAGCGGUGAAAUGCGUAGAUAUUAGGAGGAACACCAGUGGCGAAGGCGGCUUACUGGACGAUAACUGACGCUGAGGCUCGAAAGCGUGGGGAGCAAAC